GGAUGCGAUCAUACCAGCACUAAUGCACCGGAUCCAUCAGAACUCCGAAGUUAAGCGUGCUUGGGCGAGAGUAGUACUAGGAUGGGUGACCCCCUGGAAGUCCUCGUGUUGCAUCCC
Molecule: ribosomal RNA, 117 nt
Filed under: Ipomoea nil (Japanese morning glory)
Lineage: Eukaryota; Viridiplantae; Streptophyta; Magnoliopsida; Solanales; Convolvulaceae
Source: RNAcentral